Molecule: long non-coding RNA, 4441 nt
Filed under: Musa acuminata (dwarf banana)
Lineage: Eukaryota; Viridiplantae; Streptophyta; Magnoliopsida; Zingiberales; Musaceae
Description: long non-coding RNA (MACU_LNC005041)
Source: RNAcentral
GGAAACGGCGUCGUCUUCACGGCCGUGCAGUGGGUACGACACAGGGGGGAACUUGACCGUGUCGCUGCAGUUACUCUCCCUGCCGUUGGGGCAGCUGAUGAUCGAUCUCCCGUCGCUGGAGACGCAGACGCGGAUCUGGGAGAGGUAGUCGUUGUAGAUUAAAGGCCAGAGAAUGUAAUUCCUGGUGCACACCACCGUGAACGAGAACCCGAUCCUGGGCACCAACGCGUCGUUGAUGUCCUCCAGGCUGUAGCUCUUCGUCUCCGACGGGAUGAUGGCUUGAGAUCAGGAACAGAUCCAUGCGUUAGCUGCAGACACUUGUAAGCUCGAGGUCGGCAUGCAGGGCAGGGCUGCUUACCUUUGGAGCCGAGGGCAUGGAGGACGUCGGCUCGAGCCCGGAGCUGAAGCGCCCGGCCGAAGUAAUUCACCUCGCUAAGGCUGGUGCAGUUGCCGUAGGUACACCAGGCGGCCUUCCACACCUGCUUCCCGUUCUGGGCUGGGCAGCUCAAGCUGGGCCAGUAGGCGUUCAAGUCGUUCAUCAGAUCGUUAAGCUGUGGCAUGCGCAGAGUGAUCAGUGUGGGUCGGGAGCAGCGGAGAUCAUCGACUGCAUAGAUCCAAUCAGGCCUAUUACCGGGUUCAACAAGAAGCGGCAGCUGGGUUCGCAGUUGGCGACGAGCUUGCCGGUGGCGCUGUCGUAGGUCUCCAUGGUCUCCACCAGGAAGUCUGGCUCGGGGUUUUCGAUGAGCGGGUCAACGCAGCAGGUCGGCUGCCAGAACCACCCUGGCUGGCAGCGAGUCCCCGGCCACUGCAGGAGUCACGAUCCGUUAGACUUCAUUAACAGUUUACCGUACAAGAAAGGCUUUCUGUAAAGCCGAGAGAGAGAGAGAGAGAGAGGAAUAGGUACUAUGAGAGACAGGAUCAUGUAGUCGUAUGAAGCAGCUGCUAGCGCACAAGAGGCGGCGCACAAGAGGAAGCAGAACGUGGGAAGAGCCUUUGAGCCAGCCAUUCUGCAGAGGUGGAGAGGAUGAUCGGGGGAGAGACGCUUCGUGAGGUGAUGAGUCUGAUGGCUCUAUAUAAGCACUACAUUGAAGACACACCCACCUACUGAUAAUUGUUGGACUAAUAAUGCACCGCGAUUGCUGUUAGGGGGGUCUUAAAAUAAUGCACUUCGCAUAAAAUGUCGUACACCAACAUGAAACAUGAGGGACAUUCCCGCAUAUCGCAAGCAUAGUGGGUUGCAAAAUGCAAGGAAAGAAAGUAAGGAAUUUAUUUGAUUAUGGUCUCUCAUAGCUAUAAGAUUAUGGUCUCUCGUAGCUAUAUGGACUAUGUGACAUCGUCAAACCACGAUGUCACCUCCACCCUCCACCCCACCAGCCACUGGACCCUUUCCAUACAUUACAAUCAUUAAUCUUGAUGGAGGUGAACGAGAGAUAAUCAUAAGUAUUUUUCCUCUCUUCUCUUUUGUAUGACUCAUCGUAUUAGAUAUUAUCGUACGCUUCACGCACAUAUUGUUUUACUCACCUGAUCGAGCAACGAUAAUAGUGUGAUAGAAGCGAGCAAGGGAUACUCCUUCGACUAAGGGGCUUGAAAUCUAAGAGAUAGAAAAGGGAUUGAGGAUAAAGACACGAGCAAGAGAUAAUAUAAUUUUAUGACGAAUAAGAGUUAAAGAGUAAGAUGAGAAUGACUAUAUGAUGCGAAUAAAACAAAAAAGUGACAUUAGUAGAAUAAAAAGUAAAAAANNNNNNNNNNNNNNNNNNNNNNNNNNNNNNNNNNNNNNNNNNNNNNNNNNNNNNNNNNNNNNNNNNNNNNNNNNNNNNNNNNNNNNNNNNNNNNNNNNNNCGUGUUAUUAUCUAUCGGCAAACAAUUGACUUGAUAAUUGAUAAGGCAUAUAUUUAGGAUCUCGGCCACGUCGCGAUCCACGCCACGUCACACUCCUGCAGAUUCAACACAAGGGUUGCCUUCCUUCCACGUCGAGUUGGAGCUCGUAUAGGGAGGCACCCUCUCAACAAGUCCCUUCCCAGAAAGCUUGGGACGUUGUCCCAUGGCGUCGUUCCGCGCAUACCGGGUGACGAUUACACGAAGGUACGAUCUUGGGGGUAUCGAUCGUCAAGUCAAAUCCGCGUAUAAUCGAUCCUCGGACAAUAGUAUAAAAUCCCUUGACCGGCAUCUGGCUAGGAGACAAAGAACAGAAGAAAAAAAUCACUGACUUAGUCUACGAUGGGCCAAAGUCGGGAAUCUCCAGACCAGGGCGUGUGUGCAGGAACGUGGCCACCCCCGAACUAGCUCAAUCCCUCAUUGGAGAUGCGACCAUCCUGGCCGUUGAUCCAGACGCGACCAUCCCGACCCCUGAUCCAACUCGGCCUCGAUGCUUCUUCCAAUCGAUCGAGAGGCGCACUCCCGAACGUCGAAAACUCUGGACAUCGACAUGUGAACCAAAACGUGCCGACUCCUCGACCACGGCACGUAAGUUCACCAACAAAAAUAACGACGCAUUGUUGAAACAUUGAUUAUAAUCAAAGAAGAACGUUCUCAAAAUUAUUUUAAAAAAUAUUUUAUUUCUACCUAAUUAGUCAAUUAUUUAAAAUUUUUUUGAUGAUCAAUUCAUUUUCACUAACUCAGUAAAAUAUAAUAUUUGAAGAAAAUUAUACUGAAGAUAGAAUGUAAUAAAUGUAAUUAUAUAUAUAUAAUUAAUAUUUUUAAAAUAUAUUAAAUCGGAUAAUUUUACGGAAUAAGGUUUUGAGUCGUUCGAUGUAUGACUCUGUUAUAUCAAUAUAAGAUGAUAUUUUAGAUAUUAAAAAUAUAUACGAGACAACAUUUUGGUGCAGUUAUAUAUGUUUAAGAAAGACCACUUUUAUUACUGCAGGUGUGAAGAAGAUGCGACUCUACAACUCGGGAGUAAAAGACGAAGCGACAGCUCACAUCACCAUAAGUGCAAGCAUGUGGAUCACGCCAAGCAGAAGAAGACAGGCUUAAAGCAGUUCCUCCAUCACAGUGCCAUCUCGUCGCCGGAGGGCAACUCGAUCACUGUCUUGGAAACGGCGUCGUCUUCACGGCCUUGCAGUGGGUACGACACAGGGGGGAACUUGACCGUGUCGCCGCAGUUACUCUCCCUGCCGUUGGGGCAGCCGAUGAUCGACCUCCCGUCGCUGGAGACGCAGACGCGGAUCUGGUAGAGGUAGUCUUCGUAGAAGAAAGGCCAGAGAAUGUAAUUCCUGGUGCACACCACCGUGAACGAGAACCCGAUCCUGGGCACCAACGCGUCGUUGAUGUCGUCCAGGCUGUAGCUCUUCGUCGCGUGCGGUAUGAUCCCACUCGAGCCCAGGUUGACGAGGGGGUCCACCUUCUUCCUGAGUUGAAGCGCCCGGUCGAAGUAGAGCGACUGGUUGAGGCUGGAGCAAGUGCCGUAGGUGCACCACACGUCCUUCCAGUGGGGCAUCCCGCUGUUGCUGGGACAGGUCAGGUUGGCGUAGUACGUGUACAAGUUGUCGAGCAUGUUCACCAGCUGUCCAAACAAGACAAAGCGGUCAUCAUCGACAUCUCGGCCGAGUUAGCUCGGGUGGAGGAGGCUAACGAGACUCACCGGAAGUAUCUUGAAGACGCAGCUUCUGCUGCAGCCGGUGACCGGUUUACCGGUGGCGCUGUCGUAGGUUUCCAGGGCUUGGACGAGGAAGUCCGCCGCCGGCUCGCCAUUCGUCGGCAUACAGCACUUCCCUGUCGGUUGCGAGCUAGCACAGUAGCUUCCUGGCCACUGCAGUGAGAAGGACAUCAUACCAUCACCCAUCUUGCCAUCGAUGGUUACCACUACUGCAGGAAACCAGAACCAAGUAGAGGGUAACUAUACCAUAAGUUUCAAGAUCAGGUAGUCGGGCUUCGAAGCUGCCCUUGCCGCCGGAGAGGAAGACAAGCAUAACAGCAAGACAAGCAAGCAGAUCCCAGGAAGAGCCUUGAGGAUAGCCAUUCUGCAGGAGCUGUCGAGUUGCCUUGGUGAUGGUGGAUAAUAUAAGCCCAUCGUGGAACACACUGGUUGUGGCCUGGUGGUGGCGGGAUCCAUGGCAGCUCUAUCAAGAAAUGGCUGUCCUCGUCUCAGCCAUCAGCCUCUCCCCACGAGUUUCACGUGGCUUGCAGAUCUCAUCGCUUUCGAGAAAUGGUCGCCGUGCUGUUCACCACCAAUUUAAUGAUGACAUUAAAAUAAUGGCACAGUACAAGAUCAGAUGAUGUUCCAUGUGACUGACUUCUUUUAUUUGGACUCUCUCUCUCUCUCAUGAUUCGGGAACGGACAAGGAGAUGGAAGCAUUGAUUACAGUCGAGCCACCCAAACAACACCCCACUCCUCGCCAUCAAAUGUUCUUAUCUUCACAGACCGAACAUCAUUGAAGGGACUAAUAAGAAGAAGAUGGAUAGCAACCUGAUCGAAACAAGAACAAUGUUGAGAUGGGGAGGG